GACGAACGCUGGCGGCGUGCUUAACACAUGCAAGUCGAACGGGAGUAUCGAAGAAGCUUGCUUUUAAGAUACUUUAGUGGCGGACGGGUGAGUAACGCGUGAGGAGCUGUACUAUGCAGGGGGACAACAGUUGGAAACGACUGCUAAUACUCCAUAAGCCGAGAGGUAACAGGACUUAUCCGGCAAAGGAGGUACUCGCGUCCUAUCAGCUAGUAGGUGGGGUACCGGCUCACCUAGGCGAAGACGGGUAGCCGGCCUGAGAGGGCGAACGGCCACACUGUAACUGAGAUACGGUCCAGACUCCUACGGGAGGCAGCAGUGGGGAAUAUUGGGCAAUGGGGGGAACCCUGACCCAGCGACGCCGCGUGGGUGAAGAAAUCCUUCGGGAUGUAAAGCCCUGUUGUAUGGGAAGAGCAGAAGACGGUACCAUACGAGGAAGCCCCGGCAAACUACGUGCCAGCCGCCGCAGUAA
RNAcentral lists this ribosomal RNA (472 nucleotides) under uncultured bacterium. RNAcentral describes it as "partial 16S ribosomal RNA". It matches the Rfam family "Bacterial small subunit ribosomal RNA", at positions 28 to 523 of the family's 1533-position model. The record is from RNAcentral.